UACGGAGGGUGCAAGCGUUGUCCGGAUUUAUUGGGUUUAAAGGGUGCGUAGGCGGCCGAUUAAGUCUGGGGUGAAAGCCCACUGCUCAACAGUGGAACUGCCCUGGAAACUGGUUGGCUUGAGUACAGACGAGGGUGGCGGAAUGGAUGCUGUAGCGGUGAAAUGCAUAGAUAGCAUCCAGAACACCGAUUGCGAAGGCAGCUGCCUAGACUGUAACUGACGCUGAGGCACGAAAGCGUGGGGAGCGAACAGG
RNAcentral lists this ribosomal RNA (253 nucleotides) under uncultured bacterium. RNAcentral describes it as "partial 16S ribosomal RNA". It matches the Rfam family "Bacterial small subunit ribosomal RNA", at positions 524 to 776 of the family's 1533-position model. The record is from RNAcentral.